AUGAGUCGUCCUGAUGGCAUCAACAUUCCCGGUGUUAAGAUCUACCUAGGAGAUGCUGGCUAUGCAUGUCGCCUAGGUCUUCUUUCGCCCUCUAGGAAAACCUGGUGCCAUUUGAAUGAGUUUGUUGGUAGGAACUAUCCUAUGACUCUACAGGAGCUCUUCAGUCUCAGACACUCCAACCUUAGAAUUACUAUUAAGAGGGCCUUUGGAGUUCUGAAGAAUGGGUUUAAGAUUCUAGAUCAGAAGCCAUUUCACACUUUCCACACUCAAGUUGAGCUUGUUCUUACUUGUUGCAUUCUGCAUAACUGGAUCCUGUAAUGAGGGUGUGAUGAACUGGUGGAUGAGGAAGAUGUGACGCCUGACGAUGUUAUCAACUCCAGCCAUGGGUGGAGGUAUUUAACAACGAAGCCUGGAAGAACAAAUAUCUGA
This 429-nucleotide ribosomal RNA is filed under the name Triticum aestivum (bread wheat). RNAcentral's name for it is "partial small subunit ribosomal RNA". Lineage: Eukaryota; Viridiplantae; Streptophyta; Magnoliopsida; Poales; Poaceae. The record is from RNAcentral.